AACACAGGGCUCGAAUGUGGACAGGAGGAGGACCUAAGUGGACCCGGAGGCUGAGCUGGCCUCGCAGCACUGGUGGUGGGGGAGGGCUGAUGGUCAGGACUCUGGGUCUUUGGCACUGCUGCCUAGGCCGUGGCCCUCAGUCUGCCCAUCUGUGAAAUGAGGGGGAGCUGGUCCUGACUGCCUCCCAGGGACCCUGUGAAAAGCCGCUCUGAACUCCUUGCCAGAGAGGAGGUUUGCCGGUGCCACAAUCCAGAGCUGAGAUUUCUUUACAUCACAGUGGUUCAAGGAGAAAAACACAGCCAGAUCCUUCCUCAUCUCAACAUAAAUUAAACCCAGAGGCAGUCAGCGCCACAGUCCACACUCGUAACCGUUACACUCACCUGGAAAUAAAAGUAUUUUUGUGCGGGGACUGCAAGGACUAAGCCCGGCCGCACUCCGAGUUUCUCCUCCUCACAGACUGGAUGAUGAGAGGCACAGCUGAGUCCGGAGCAGACUGAGCCACCUAAGAGGGGAGGAACCGCUGCAGAGAAACCGUGUUAAGCCUUUUUGAAGUUCCAGAGGGAGAACAAGAGAGCGGAGGCUCCUGGUGGCUGGUGACAGGAGCCUGCAGAGCCACUGCCCUGACAGGGGACACCUCACUUCCUCUCCUUGCAGCUGCUCUUGGCUGGGAGAGCAGAGAACAGGGGACAGGAGAGAAGCCCCGAGAGUACUGAAGCUGAGGCUGGGGCGGUCUUCACUUCCCUCUUUCCUCGGCCCUUUUCCUGUUCUCUUGUCUUGUCUCUCUUUCUCUACUUUCCUUCUCCCUAGCCCAGUCUCUCACCGCUCUUCAGCCUCUGGGCCUUUCCUUCUUCCUCUCUUGCCCUCAUUCUUCCUUCUCUGUCCCUCUUGUCUUCUCUUUUACCUCUUCUCUUCUUCCCUCCUUCCUACAGCUAUGCCCUCUUCCCUCCUUUCUCUUGUCCCCAACCAGGGCAUUAGAAAUGCAUUCCAGUUACACUGAUCUGAUCACUGCAUAUUGUAUGCAUGCAUCAAAAUAUCACAUGUACCCCAGAAAUAUGUAAAUUACUGCAUAUCAAUAAAAAGAAAUGUAGCUUC
RNAcentral lists this long non-coding RNA (1092 nucleotides) under Homo sapiens (human). RNAcentral describes it as "long intergenic non-protein coding RNA 1141". The record is from RNAcentral. Lineage: Eukaryota; Metazoa; Chordata; Mammalia; Primates; Hominidae.